AUAAAAAAUAAUUUAUCCAGAGCAUAUUGAGACACAAGGGAGAGAUUGUGAAAUCUGAAAACCAGUGGGAAUCAGUGUCAUCACCAUGCUCGUCAUGAGAACAUCAUAGGAAGCUUUGAUGGCUAAACCAAACCCUAAAACCCGCUUCAUCCUUCGAAGCGAUUUUCCCGGAGAACGUAACGAACCUUCUAUUUGAAAAAGAAGGCCUAAGCAUUUUGUAUUGGUGGACCUCUUCCUCCCAAGAAGGAUCUUACUCACUGCAUCAAAUGGCCAAAGGCAAUCCAUCUCCAAAGGCAGAAGAUGAUCCUUAAGCAGGGGUGGAAGGCCCCACCAUCAAUCACCUCACUAAGACUUUCGGCAAGGUUCUUGGUAAAGUCUAUUACAUAAUUUUAAUGUUGAUUUUGGAACUUUUAUUGCAUAAUUUCACUAUAUUUGUUGUAACAGCUGAUUGAAACUAACAGAAUAUUGUAUUGAUGUAUCAAUGAACAUGCUCUUUGUGUGUGUA
This is a long non-coding RNA of Brassica rapa (field mustard), 505 nucleotides long. RefSeq lists it as uncharacterized. Lineage: Eukaryota; Viridiplantae; Streptophyta; Magnoliopsida; Brassicales; Brassicaceae. The record is from RefSeq and is a predicted model, not a curated record.